UGGGGAAUAUUGCACAAUGGGCGCAAGCCUGAUGCAGCCAUGCCGCGUGUAUGAAGAAGGCCUUCGGGUUGUAAAGUACUUUCAGCGAGGAGGAAGGCGUUGUGGUUAAUAACCGCAACGAUUGACGUUACUCGCAGAAGAAGCACCGGCUAACUCCGUGCCAGCAGCCGCGGUAAUACGGAGGGUGCAAGCGUUAAUCGGAAUUACUGGGCGUAAAGCGCACGCAGGCGGUCUGUCAAGUCGGAUGUGAAAUCCCCGGGCUCAACCUGGGAACUGCAUCCGAAACUGGCAGGCUAGAGUCUUGUAGAGGGGGGUAGAAUUCCAGGUGUAGCGGUGAAAUGCGUAGAGAUCUGGAGGAAUACCGGUGGCGAAGGCGGCCCCCUGGACAAAGACUGACGCUCAGGUGCGAAAUCGUGGGGAGCAAACA
Molecule: ribosomal RNA, 427 nt
Filed under: uncultured bacterium
Lineage: Bacteria
Description: partial 16S ribosomal RNA
Rfam family: Bacterial small subunit ribosomal RNA
Source: RNAcentral